RNAcentral lists this ribosomal RNA (273 nucleotides) under uncultured bacterium. RNAcentral's name for it is "partial 16S ribosomal RNA". It matches the Rfam family "Bacterial small subunit ribosomal RNA", at positions 524 to 796 of the family's 1533-position model. The record is from RNAcentral.
AACGUAGGCACCGAGCGUUAUCCGGAUUUACUGGGCGUAAAGCGCGUUCAGGCGGCUUGGCAAGUCGGGCAUGAAAUCUCUCGGCUCAACCGGGAGAGGUUGUCCGAUACUGCUAGGCUUGAGGGCAGUAGAGGGAGGUGGAAUUCCGGGUGUAGUGGUGAAAUGCGUAGAGAUCCGGAGGAACACCAGUGGCGAAGGCGGCCUCCUGGACUGCACCUGACGCUGUCACGCGAAAGCUAGGGGAGCGAACGGGAUUAGAAACCCCCGUAGUCC